GUGUUCACUUAAGACAGCACAUAUACUAAAAUUGGAACAACACAGAGAUUAGUGUGGCCCCUGUGCGAAGAUAAUACACAAAUUCAUGAAGCAUUCCAUAUAUAU
Small nuclear RNA from Pongo abelii (Sumatran orangutan), 105 nucleotides. The record is from Ensembl. NCBI's taxonomy places the organism in Eukaryota, Metazoa, Chordata, Mammalia, Primates, Hominidae.